RNAcentral lists this long non-coding RNA (1410 nucleotides) under Homo sapiens (human). RNAcentral describes it as "HSALNT0091337". The record is from RNAcentral. Lineage: Eukaryota; Metazoa; Chordata; Mammalia; Primates; Hominidae.
GCUCAGCAGUCUCAUUGAAGCGAGCGGCGGCGGCCGCGCCGUGGUAAACAAGUGCCGGGCUGUCAAUCAAGAACUAGACCGGAGCAGGAGAGGACCGGCCUAAACCGGCGCGAGCAGAUCCCAGCCGGCCUGCCCGCGCGCCGCCGCCGCCGCCGCUGCCGCCCGCGCGCCCCGCUAUACAUACGGCAUACGUCGCGCGGCGCUCGCGCCCGUGCCCGCGCAACCUAGCCUGCUGGCCGGGGGGCGGGGCGAGCGAGCCGCGGCGCUUCCGCUUUACACGCCCCAGCCGGCGACCGGUUCCAUCUGGCUCGGGCCACUCUGACACCUUUAGUUUCGGCAAGGGAUAUUGGGGUGGCGAAGGGGAGGCGGGGGCCCGAAGGCUUCGGAAAACGAUGGGGGAGGGGGCAGAGGAUACCCGUCGAAGCCCCCCCCUCCCCCAACAUUUCGAUAUUGGAAUCACUUUCCUUCUUCCUCGGGCCAGCCUUUGCUCUGUCCCCUCAGGUCAACUCAAGGUAGACAGUGUGGCGACUGGAGAGGUCGGGGAACAAGCUUUGUUUCAGCUAAGGGGAAAACAAGCGUUCACAGGAGUCCCCUGACACCUCCCACUCGGAAGAUAGCUAACGGGGGUCCUGCCAACCCUUCCCAUCCAACUUCCAUCUGAAAAGGAUUUUCUGCUAAAGUUGGGUCCAUGGCCAUCCAGCACCUGUAAGGCCGGCAGGAGCGUCUGCCCUCUACUCAGUUAAAGCCUGAAGUCGUUUCCUUUCGAUGGCCCUUAGGAGGCCCAAAAGAGGGGCGACAGAACAUGAUGUUGACACGGGCUGGGCGCCCCCAGAAGCCCGGGAACAAACGUUUCUACUUUCCAGGUCCACUGGUGUUUGGUGUACCCAUGUGACUAAUUUGUCCAAAGAGAGAUUUCUGUGAAUAGACCAGAAGCCGACCUUUACAGUGUGUUUGGGUGCAGGUGAGGCUGAUUUGAGGCAAAUGUGCUUUACAGAUCUACAAUCUUAUACCUCACUCUGGCUGAAGCACCAGUCCCCAAGUGCAGACUUCUUGCCUGUUUCCCGUGUAACACUGUCCAACUCUGAAGGCUCCUACCCUGACCUUGGCCCUUGCUAUUUUCUUCAGUGGUUCUGAUGAUGGAAGAAUCAGAAGUGCCUGGUGUAUACUGGAAAUAGGAUUCUAGAGGAUGUCUGUGUGCCUUUCUCCCCUUUCAAACGAUAGGGAAGAUAUACUGAGUCCUGUCUUCAGCUAGGGGAUGCCCUGGCCUCCUUCCUAUCUUCAAAGCCUGCAAGAGUGGGCUGAGUCCUUCUCACUCCACCCUCUUCUUUUGUGUACCUUUUCCACUUGUAAGGACCCUUGUAAUUGCAUUGGAUUCACCUGGAUAACCCAGACUGAUCUCCCUAUUUUAAG